This 23-nucleotide ribosomal RNA is filed under the name Pseudococcomyxa simplex. Its description in RNAcentral is "Coccomyxa simplex partial 26S ribosomal RNA". Lineage: Eukaryota; Viridiplantae; Chlorophyta; Trebouxiophyceae; Chlorellales; Oocystaceae. The record is from RNAcentral.
UGAGUUCAGGCAAGAACACCCGC